This 305-nucleotide unclassified non-coding RNA is filed under the name uncultured fungus. Its description in RNAcentral is "sequence contains ITS2". Lineage: Eukaryota; Fungi. The record is from RNAcentral.
AACGCAAAUUGCACUUCUUUCGGGAAGUAUACUUGCUUGAGGGUUGGUCUACCAAAAAUCGUAAAUUUUUUUUACGGAUCUGGGUUUUCCGAGUUUUCUCGACUUUUCUCGACUUCGGUUGCCUAAAAUUUAUCUUGACAAUGAGGUAUCAAUUAGAAAUGUUCUACCUUACAUCUUGUAAGUUCAUUGAUAAUUAUACCUAAUUGUUACAUCGCGUUAUUCAUCUAGUACCUUUGAUUAGGUGAAAUAAUUCAAUUUUUUUUUAAUCCUACCUCAAGUCAAGUAAGGAUACCCGCUGAACUUAA